AUGGGUGCUUUGGAUGUUUACAAUCAUUAUAAAUUUUACCAUUUUUUCUCUAUCUGCUUUGGCCUGGGCUGUGGACUUUCACUCUACAGGCCAUUUUACUCCGUUGUGGUGCCGUCAGUUCUUGGCGUGUUCUUCACAGUAGUUUUUGAAUGUGUGGGUGCAUCCUUUGGUUUGCCAGCACAUACUAAAAGAUGUAAGGGUCGACCUUACCACUGGAAAGAUGUUAUCUGGGGUUAUUGUAUGGCUUUCUUUGUGACUCUCCUCCAUCUCAGGACUUAUCAUGUCUAUACUCUGUCUUUUGGCUGUGGCCUUGCUGUGUUUGCUAUAAGAGGAGCAAUACGCAAAUAUAAUGCUCUAUGGUGA
This 363-nucleotide long non-coding RNA is filed under the name Carassius auratus (goldfish). Its description in RNAcentral is "lncRNA (ENSCARG00000024529.1)". The record is from RNAcentral. Lineage: Eukaryota; Metazoa; Chordata; Actinopteri; Cypriniformes; Cyprinidae.